UACAGAGGGUGCGAGCGUUGUCCGGAAUCACUGGGCAUAAAGGGCGCGUAGGUGGCGGGACAAGCGUGCGGUGAAAGCUCGGGGCUCAACCCCGAGUCGGCCGUGCGAACUGUUUUGCUUGAGCACUGUAGAGGCAGGCGGAAUUCCACGUGUAGCGGUGAAAUGCGUAGAGAUGUGGAGGAACACCAGUGGCGAAGGCGGCUUUCUGGUCUGUAACUGACGCUGAGGCGCGAAAGCGUGGGGAGCAAACAGG
This 253-nucleotide ribosomal RNA is filed under the name uncultured bacterium. RNAcentral's name for it is "partial 16S ribosomal RNA". It matches the Rfam family "Bacterial small subunit ribosomal RNA", at positions 524 to 776 of the family's 1533-position model. The record is from RNAcentral.